GACGAACGCUGGCGGCGUGCUUAACACAUGCAAGUCGAACGGAAAGGCCUGCUUUCCCUUGUGGAUUGCGGGUACUCGAGUGGCGAACGGGUGAGUAACACGUGAGUGAUCUGCCCCCAACUUGGGUAUAAGCCUGGGAAACUGGGUCUAAUUCCCGAUAGGACUGCAGGGUGGUGCCUGUGGUGGAAAACGAUUUUCUAGUGGUCGGGGAUGAGCUCGCGGCCUAUCAGCUUGUUGGUGGGGUAAUGGCCUACCAAGGCGGCGACGGGUAGCCGGCCUGAGAGGGUGGACGGCCACAUUGGGACUGGGAUACGGCCCAGACUCCUACGGGAGGCAGCAGUGGGGAAUAUUGCACAAUGGGCGGAAGCCUGAUGCAGCGACGCCGCGUGGGGGAUGACGGCCUUCGGGUUGUAAACUCCUUUCGACCGCGAGGAAGCCACCUGGUUGGAAGGGUGGUGACGGUAGUGGUAGAAGAAGCACCGGCUAACUACGUG
RNAcentral lists this ribosomal RNA (494 nucleotides) under uncultured bacterium. Its description in RNAcentral is "partial 16S ribosomal RNA". It matches the Rfam family "Bacterial small subunit ribosomal RNA", at positions 28 to 507 of the family's 1533-position model. The record is from RNAcentral.